UACGUAGGGGGCAAGCGUUGUCCGGAAUCAUUGGGCGUAAAGAGCGUGUAGGCGGCCCGGUAAGUCCGCUGUGAAAGUCCAGGGCUCAACCCUGGGAUGCCGGUGGAUACUGUCGGGCUCGAGUCCGGAAGAGGCGAGUGGAAUUCCUGGUGUAGCGGCGAAAUGCGCAGAUAUCAGGAGGAACACCAAUGGCGAAGGCAGCUCGCUGGGACGUGACUGACGCUGAGACGCGAAAGCGUGGGGAGCAAACAGG
RNAcentral lists this ribosomal RNA (253 nucleotides) under uncultured bacterium. RNAcentral's name for it is "partial 16S ribosomal RNA". It matches the Rfam family "Bacterial small subunit ribosomal RNA", at positions 524 to 776 of the family's 1533-position model. The record is from RNAcentral.